Molecule: long non-coding RNA, 2013 nt
Filed under: Homo sapiens (human)
Lineage: Eukaryota; Metazoa; Chordata; Mammalia; Primates; Hominidae
Description: non-protein coding STXBP5-AS1:23
Source: RNAcentral
AGAAACACUCUGCUACAGAACAAGUGUCUUGGUUCACAGCAAAGAGGACAAAGAAAACAGCAAGUUUUAGGGGGUUGAAUCCUGGAUUGUGAAAUGUUGGUGCCAAAUGAACUUUUCUGGUUCUUCUGAAUAUGCCACUGUUGCUGGAGAAAUGUCACUGCUAGAGAACAGAAGACUAUUAUUCCAAAGGGUAUUUGAGACUGACUGAAUCAGGUCUGGAACAUUAUUGAAAUGAGACCCACAAAAGAAGAGAUACUGAGAGGAUGAAGAGAUCCUCCUAGCUUGGCGGAAUACUCUGCUCUGAUGGAAGUACCAUCCUGGUCCAAACAUGAAAGAAUUCCCAACAUCAAGAUUGAUUGAAACAUAUUCAAUGGGUGGUGACCAGAUGGAUAUAAACGGGCUGUGGAAAAAGAGAAUGCAUGGCCAAAAAUGGUGGUGCUCUCUGUCCAAAAACUGAGGCCCUAUGACCAUGAAUGAAGCCAGAGGGCAGGUAGGAAUAGAUCAUUUGCUCCAGAAGAAGCUGGUUGCCAUGUCUUGAGGACAGUAAACCCUCUGGGGAGGUUCCUGUGGUAAGGAACAAGGGCUCCUGGCAAUAGCCUCUGAGUGAGCCACCUUGAAAAUGGAUUGUCCAGCCCCAGUCAAGCUUUCAGAUGACUGUAGCUCCUGCCAAUGUCUUCACCACAACCUCAUGAGAUCCCAAGCUACAACCACUCAGUUAAGUUAUGCCAAAAUUCCUGAUUCACAGAAAUUGACAUACAGGAGAGGUCACAGUUAAGAUCUUGAUGUUCUAUCUUGACCCAUAAUAUAGGAACUUCAUCUUUUGGGAAGCACCAGGGAGAGCUGCCUGUGCCUGGCAGAAGCUGCCCAUGCCCCACUGAUACCCCACAGUACUUCCUGUUCUGCUUAGUACUCCUGCUUCUUUCUACAAACAACUGUGAUUCUCUACCUGGGAGCUUCCUCUGGCCACAGGAGCCUGCUCACCUGAUUGGGACACCCUAGCAGUACUGGCUCAUAGAUGGAAGGGACUUGCCUUGUCGCUGAUGAGACUUUCGACUUGGACUUUUGAGUCAAUGCUGGAAUGAGUUAAGACUUUGGGGAACUGUUGGAAGGGUGUGAUUGUGUUUUGAAUUGUGAGGACAUGAGAUUUUGAAGAGGCUAAUGGCAGCGUCCCCACCUAAAUCUCUUCUUGAAUUGUAGUUCCCAUAAUCCCCACGUGUCGUGGGGUGGAGCCGGUGGAGAUAAUUGAAUCAUGGGAACACUUUCCCCCAUGCUGUUAUUGUGAUUGUGAAUUCUCACGAGAUCUGAUGGUUGUAUAAACGCCUUCCCUCUUCGCUGGGCACUCAUUUUUCUCCUUCCUGCCACCAUGUGAAGAAGGAUAUGCUUGCUUCUUGUGCCAUGAUUACAAGAACACACUCAGAAAUUUUCUCAACACAGUUUCUAUGCAGAGAAGAGAUGUGGGACAGAUUUGAACUGCUGUCAUAUUUGUAUGAACCCAAGACAUUUUCCAAGACCAAGAGGGAUAAAGACAGCAAUUUCUAUGACUGGCAUUUUACGUGCAUGCACUGUUUCCAAGUGUUCUUGUGUUCUGUGCCUUAAACAUUCUGUGUUGCAACUUUAUGAAUUGAAUUAAAGAUAAUCCCAAGCCCCCAAUUGUCUCAAAAAGUGAAAAAGUAAAUGUUAUAGAAAGAAAAGCGGGAAAAACUUUAAGCAUGAAAUAAAAGAUGGGUUGUGAUAAAAGAGGACUGAAGAAGGAAAAGGAAUGAAAGGUUCUGCCAUCCUUCAUGGCAGCCCACUCCACUUGGUAUGAGAUACUGCUCCCUUGGCUGAAAGUUAACUGCUGUACUCCCUCCACUUUCUAUAAAUGACUCCCUGUGCCUUUCCUUCACCACACAACUCACACUCUCUUCCUUCCUAGUGAGUCCACUAAGGCUUCACUGCAUUAUUACAUUUAUUUCAUUUAGGAAAAACUGACUUUAUUUUCCUUCAAAUUGUUUUUUAUUGUUUAUAUGAGCU